CCUACGGGAGGCAGCAGUGAGGAAUAUUGGUCAAUGGACGAGAGUCUGAAGCAGCCAAGUAGCGUGAGGGAUGAAUGCCCUAUGGGUGGUAAACUUCUUUUAUAAAGGAAUAAAACGAGGCACGUGUGCCUUUUUGCAUGUACUUUAUGAAUAAGGAUCGGCUAACUCCGUGCCAGCAGCCGCGGUAAUACGGAGGAUCCGAGCGUUAUCCGGAUUUGAUGGGUUUAAAGGGAGCGUAGAUGGGAUGUUAAGUCAGUUGUGAAAGUUUGCGGCUCAACCGUAAAAUUGCAAUUGAUACUGGCAGUCUUGAGUAUAGUAGAGGUAGGCGGAAUUCGAGGUGUAGCGGUGAAAUGCUUAGAUAUCACGAAGAACCCCGAUUGCGAAGGCAGCUUACUAAACUGUGACUGACAUUGAUGCUCGAAAGUGUGGGUAGCAAACAGGAUUAGAUACCCGAGUAGUC
RNAcentral lists this ribosomal RNA (460 nucleotides) under uncultured bacterium. Its description in RNAcentral is "partial 16S ribosomal RNA". It matches the Rfam family "Bacterial small subunit ribosomal RNA", at positions 338 to 795 of the family's 1533-position model. The record is from RNAcentral.